CAGUCAUUGUGGCCCUUCACAUUUGCGCCUAUCUAUUUUCCUCCGAUGCACGCCGGGUGCGCAUGGAGAUAACUUAUGCCUCCUCCAGUUCUAGCGACCUCACCUCCGUCGCCGCUUCCACCUCCGGAUCCUCCAUGCCGACAUCCGGCGUCCGACCAGUUAAGAUCAUUCCUCUGCAACACCCUAACGCGACGUCGUCUUCCUCUCUUUCCUCUUCUCUGCCUUGUGCUCUUUUCUCUCGCUGGCUGACCAAAAUGAAACAUAUGUCUUUAGCUCAAUGGAUUGAGACUUUCUUGCCUUGCUACCGUUGGAUUAGGACUUAUAAAUGGCGCGAGUAUUUUCAGGUUGAUCUUAUGGCCGGUAUCACUAUCGGUAUUAUGCUCGUGCCGCAGGCAAUGUCUUAUGCUAAGUUGGCUGGGCUUCAACCAAUUUAUGGACUAUACUGUGGUUUUGUGCCAGUAUUUGUGUAUGCCGUAUUUGGGUCAUCUCGGCAACUGGCAACUGGUCCUGUGGCAUUGGUUUCUCUCCUAGUCUCUAACGUUUUAAGUGGAAUUGUUGAUUCAUCUGAUGAGUUAUACACGGAACUUGCUAUACUAUUGGCACUAAUGGUUGGAAUUCUGGAAUGCAUCAUGGGGCUUUUGAGGCUUGGAUGGAUUAUACGCUUCAUUAGUCACUCUGUGAUUUCUGGCUUCACAACUGCAUCAGCCAUUGUGAUUGCAUUAUCUCAAGCAAAGUACUUCCUGGGAUAUGAUGUUGUACGAAGCAGCAAGAUUGUGCCAUUAGUAAAGAGCAUAAUAUCUGGAGCGGAUAAGUUCUCGUGGCCUCCUUUUGUGAUGGGAUCUAGCAUUCUUGCUAUACUUUUGGUCAUGAAGCACUUGGGAAAAUCAAGAAAGCAAUUUAGAUUCCUUCGAGCAGCAGGACCCCUCACAGCAGUCAUUUUGGGUACAACUUUUGUGAAAAUUUUUCACCCAUCUUCUAUUUCUUUGGUAGGAGAGAUACCCCAGGGUCUCCCAAGCUUCUCCAUUCCUAAAGGAUUUGGGUAUGCAAAGUCUUUAAUCCCCACAGCAAUGCUUAUUACUGGUGUAGCCAUAUUGGAAUCUGUGGGGAUUGCAAAAGCUUUAGCGGCAAAGAAUGGUUAUGAACUGGAUUCAAAUCAGGAGUUGUUUGGCCUUGGUAUAGCAAAUAUCAUGGGCUCUUUUUUUUCAGCAUACCCUGCAACAGGUUCCUUUUCUAGGUCAGCCGUAAGUAAUGAAAGUGGGACAAAAACUGGCUUAUCUGGAAUUAUUACUGGCAUCAUCAUGGGCUGUGCUCUUCUAUUCUUGACUCCAUUAUUUGAAUACAUUCCCCUGUGUUCUCUGGCUGCAAUAGUAAUCUCUGCUGUGAUGGGCCUGGUGGAUUAUGAAGAGGCCAUCUUCUUAUGGCGUGUAGAUAAGAAAGAUUUUCUUCUAUGGACCAUUACUAGUGCUACAACAUUGUUCCUUGGCAUUGAGAUUGGUGUCCUUGUUGGGGUUGGUGUGUCAAUUGCUUUUGUUAUCCAUGAAUCAGCGAAUCCACACAUUGCUGUAUUGGGCCGUCUUCCUGGUACCACUGUUUACAGAAACAUCCAGCAGUAUCCGGAAGCAUAUACGUACAACAGAAUUGUGAUGGUUCGCAUUGAUGCACCAAUCUAUUUUGCCAAUAUAAGUUACAUAAAAGACAGGUGAAAGCACAUGCUUCCCUAAAUUAAUUCUAUCCAGGGAAACACAUUUUACCAUCAGACGUCUUUGAAUCUUCCUUCGUAUUAUUCAGUUUAGUUGUUUGAAUUUAAUUCAUCAAGGUUUCCUUUUUCAGACUUAGGGAAUAUGAACUCAAUGUUGACAAAUCUACCAGACGUGGACCAGAAGUUGAAAGAAUUUAUUUUGUGAUUUUGGAGAUGUCACCUGUUACAUAUAUAGACUCCAGUGCUGUUCAAGCUUUGAAAGACUUGCAUCAGGAGUAUAAAUCACGGGAUAUCCAGGUUUAGUGCUCAUUCUGGUUGAAGUCACAUUUUAACUAUGAGCUAUUUUUUUCAUACGGAGAAAUAGAAGGAUGAUCUUCUUGCAUGCCACUGGGUUCUUUUGUAGAUUGCUAUUUCCAAUCCCAACAGAGAAGUUUUGUUGACCUUAUCAAAAGCUGGUCUUGUAGAGCUCAUCGGCAAGGAAUGGUACUUUGUGAGAAUGCAUGAUGCUGUUCAAGUUUGCCUUCAGCAUGUUCAAAGCAUAAGCCAAGAACCCAGGCACCCGGAUUUAUUACCUGUCGAUAAGCCAGGUUUCUUCCAACGGUUAUUGAAACAAAGAGAGGAGGAUUUAUCAGUUGCGAAGUUGGAGUCAGGCAAUAAUUCUGACUCUCAACUGGAGCCAUUGUUGUCUCGGAAGUCAUGAAAUUGACUUAUUUUUUCAACAAAUAAACUACUGCCCAUUUUUAUCAAGGCAACCGCUUAUACAUAUUUGCAAGGUUUGAUUAUUUUCUUGUAAUUGUAAUCCAUUGUUGUAACAUUUAUCCAUUGUUGUAACAUUUCAUUAUGAUGUAUCAUUUGAUUUUUCAAGCUAGUUAGCUAUGAUUGUUGUAGAAUAAACAAAGUUUACUUUCUGCUAUGGAAAUAUUCAUUUCUCA
Molecule: unclassified non-coding RNA, 2631 nt
Filed under: Hevea brasiliensis (rubber tree)
Lineage: Eukaryota; Viridiplantae; Streptophyta; Magnoliopsida; Malpighiales; Euphorbiaceae
Source: RNAcentral